UACGUAGGUGGCAAGCGUUGUCCGGAUUUACUGGGUGUAAAGGGCGCGUAGGCGGGAUGGCGAGUCAGAUGUGAAAUCCCCGGGCUCAACCCGGGAACUGCAUUUGAAACUGUCGUUCUUGAGUAUCGGAGAGGCAAGCGGAAUUCCUAGUGUAGCGGUGAAAUGCGUAGAUAUUAGGAGGAACACCAGUGGCGAAGGCGGCUUGCUGGACGACAACUGACGCUGAGGCGCGAAAGCGUGGGGAGCAAAC
RNAcentral lists this ribosomal RNA (250 nucleotides) under uncultured prokaryote. RNAcentral's name for it is "partial 16S ribosomal RNA". It matches the Rfam family "Bacterial small subunit ribosomal RNA", at positions 524 to 773 of the family's 1533-position model. The record is from RNAcentral.